Molecule: ribosomal RNA, 440 nt
Filed under: uncultured bacterium
Lineage: Bacteria
Description: partial 16S ribosomal RNA
Rfam family: Bacterial small subunit ribosomal RNA
Source: RNAcentral
CCUACGGGAGGCAGCAGUAGGGAAUAUUGCGCAAUGGGGGAAACCCUGAAGCAGCAACGCCGCGUGGGGGAUGAAGGUUUUCGGAUUGUAAACUCCUUUUGUUAGGGAAGAUAAUUACGUUAUCUAACGAGUACUCACCUGCUAACUCCGUGCCAGCAGCCGCGGUAAUACGGAGGGUGCAAACGUUACUCGGAAUCACUGGGCGUACAGAGCGCGUAGGCGGGAUAGCAAGUCAGAUGUGAAAUCCUAUGGCUUAACCAGAGAACUGCAUUUGAAACUGGUAUUCUAGAGUGUGGGAGAGGUAGGUGGAAUUCUUGGUGUAGGGGUAAAAUCCGUAGAGAUCAAGAGGAAUACGCAUUGCGAAGGCGACCAGCUAGAACAUAACUGACGCUGAGGCGCGAAAGCGUGGGGAGCAAACAGGAUUAGAUACCCCAGUAGUC